This is a long non-coding RNA of Platichthys flesus (European flounder), 910 nucleotides long. RefSeq lists it as uncharacterized. The record is from RefSeq and is a predicted model, not a curated record. The transcript has 3 exons. NCBI's taxonomy places the organism in Eukaryota, Metazoa, Chordata, Actinopteri, Pleuronectiformes, Pleuronectidae.
GCGGUGUCAAAUGAUGGAGCAUCAUAAUUACGCCCUUUUUAUUGGCCAUCUUAUUCCAGCUAUGACUGAUGCGGCACCCAACCCUAAGUGUUUCCAUUUGCACUUUCAUGUGGCGGACGGGGAGAGAAGCCGCGGCUCGCCUGCCUUUCAAAGAGCCCUCCCCGGAGGAGGAAGCGAACGCAGAUCCCUGGCGUAAGACGGCAGAAAUAAAUCAAUGACCUCCCUCUACUGGUCAGAGGCCAAACUACAGUACAGUGAAUUAGCAGCCCUCUUGACUCUGGAUGGUUUCAGGACCAGAGGAGAGGAAUGUGGGUGAGGUCAUGCUAAUAGCCUGGGCUUGAGGUUGUGGCCGUGGGGGGAGAGGAGCCCGGAGCACCCUUGGCUGGCUGGAGGGAGGCGUUGCGAGUGCAAUAGUUUGUCUUGGUGGUCCAGUGUUAGUGCUUCAGCUUUCCCAGCUUGAUGACUGCAGACGUUAUCCGCAUCUGCUCUGGAUUUCUCCUUUCUCUCUCUCUCCCCCUUGUCUCCCAAUUGAAGAUUCUAUAUCGGGCCUGGUUGUGGUCUUCCAGAGAGACCCCACGACAAACUCUCAGAGCAUUUUUGCACUCUGCGAAGGGAGCCGGAUGCCAGCGGAGCACAUAUUAAAUUUGUUACUAAUUUUAAACUUGGCACGGCGGACCACGUACUGUAGCUGCCACUAGCUCACUGGAAGGAGGCGGUUCUCGGCCCCACUGCGACCACAACCACAAUACAAACAAAGCAUAUGGAACAGCAGCUUUAGUGUACGACUGACAGUAAAUGUUUAGAAAGGGAACUUUUUAAAAAUAACCCAGUGUAAUAGAAUUAGUGGCGGAGCGGCGCCUGGCAGCAUGUGCCCUCCUCUCUCGACUCCUGUACAAGAUUAAAAUAAUAG